AUCUCGUGGUGUGGGCAUGUUGCGAUGUAUUCCUGGAGACGUUCGCAGGCUUUCGGGAUGUUUUCAUCCUGGAGUUGUUGAAAAUUGGAAAUCCUGUUCCGAAGGGU
Panicum hallii is the source of this 107-nucleotide small nucleolar RNA. Lineage: Eukaryota; Viridiplantae; Streptophyta; Magnoliopsida; Poales; Poaceae. The record is from RefSeq and is a predicted model, not a curated record.